CCAUAUUUACACAUGUCUCCUUUAAUGUUUUAAGACUAACACACGCCUCCCUAAAUUAACAAUUCAUUACACAACUACCUCCGUCCAAAAUUAGCCUACUUUUUUGUUAGUAUACCUCAUAAAUUAAGGUCAAAGGAAAGAGAAAAAAAAGACAAUUCUACCCUUAUAGAAUUAGCUAAUUGAGCCGAUUCAAAUCGAAACCAUAAAAAAUUACUGAACCGAACCAGAACCCUUCUAGAAUUAGCUAAUUCAACCAAAACCACAAAAAAGACUUUCCUUUUCUCCUCAGUAACGGGAUCUGCGGUCGCAAGCUUUGGUCUAGCGUCUCCUUUGUCGCCUCUCAGUUUCUAGCAAGCAACAAAUUAAGCUUGGUCGGAGAGUCAUGUUAUCAGCAAAAAUGAUCUCUUCUCCAUCCUGUCGGCUCGACUCUUGGACCUAUGGCCUGCUUUUCGUUCGACAAGAGAGGAGGGUGUGGUGGAAGAGUCUAAUCGGUCGGUCCUUGAUCUAGCCGAAAAAUCAAAAUAAAAUGUUGAAGGAGGUUGAGGUGGAGUCGCUCCAUUCAGAAAAGCGAAGGCAGCUCACACUCUAUCACUGCGCCAGUCAGAAAAGAAAUGGAGAGAGAGAGAAAGAGCGAAUGGCUGUGAGACAAGGGCAAUAGGGAGGAGGUCACUACUUGCGGACACAAGCCGGUGAUUGGGAAAGUUGAAAAAAAAAAAUAAUGAAUUAGCAGUAAUGGCAUCUUUGCCGUGGGAAAGGGAAAGAAAAUCAACCCAUGCUUAAAUUCAUUUAUUUCCAUUUAUUUUUUCAUAAUUCCAUUUUUGAAGGCCUUGAUCUCACAUUGAUAGCUCCAUGCUUAAUUUAUGCUUCAAAUAUGUGAAGAUGAGAGAGUUUAGAAAGUGCAGAUAUGUGGGCAUGAAAGAGGGAUGGCGUUUCCAUUUUUUGUGGAGGAUUCAAGCAGAGAGAUGGAGGAAUAAAAGUAAUUAAUUGUGAAGAAAAUUUUGCAUAUUAUAAAUGUUAGUAUGGUCAAUUUAUUUGCCAUUUGAUGGAAAUUUGAGUAAUUUUGGAUGGAAGAAUGCAUUUAUGUAAUGGAAGUAAAAAUUAGGGAUGCUAAAGUCAGUUCCAAAACGUUGAAGGAGGAAUAUGUAAAUAUGGCUGUAAUUGAAGGGUAAUGGGGAAGGGAACAAUAGAGUUGACAAAAAUACCUCUUACUAAGUCUAUAGAUUGACAAAAAUAGUUUUAAGGCUUUUAAUUUUCA
Molecule: long non-coding RNA, 1255 nt
Filed under: Jatropha curcas
Lineage: Eukaryota; Viridiplantae; Streptophyta; Magnoliopsida; Malpighiales; Euphorbiaceae
Description: long non-coding RNA (JCUR_LNC002317)
Source: RNAcentral